GUAGGGUGCAAGCGUUAAUCGGAAUUACUGGGCGUAAAGCGUGCGCAGGCGGGUUUUGUAAGUCUGUCGUGAAAGCCCCGGGGCUUAACCUGGGAAUUGCGAUGGAGACUGCAAGGCUUGAAUCUGGCAGAGGGGGGUAGAAUUCCACGUGUAGCAGCGAAAUGCGUAGAGAUGUGGAGGAACACCGAUGGCGAAGGCAGCCCCCUGGGUCAAGAUUGACGCUCAUGCACGAAAGCGUGGGGAGCAAACAGGAUUAGAUACCCUGGUAGUCCACGCCCUAAACGAUGUCUACUAGUUGUCGGGUCUUAAUUGACUUGGUAACGCAGCUAACGCGUGAAGUAGACCGCCUGGGGAGUACGGUCGCAAGAUUA
Molecule: ribosomal RNA, 371 nt
Filed under: uncultured organism
Description: partial 16S ribosomal RNA
Rfam family: Bacterial small subunit ribosomal RNA
Source: RNAcentral